RNAcentral lists this long non-coding RNA (1223 nucleotides) under Phoenix dactylifera (date palm). RNAcentral's name for it is "long non-coding RNA (PDAC_LNC004923)". The record is from RNAcentral. Lineage: Eukaryota; Viridiplantae; Streptophyta; Magnoliopsida; Arecales; Arecaceae.
AGCACCCCAGAGAGAGAACAGAAAAGGAUGGAAAACAGUCCCCACCUGUUACAAAACAGUCCCCUCUUUAUACUCCAUAUCCCAAAAAAUGUUCAAAUACCAUCAAAAAGAUAGCCAUAAAGAGCCAGAACUGAGAAAACGCUGAAUCAUAGCUUUACCAUCCCCAAGAUGGCCCCACCACCCACGCUAGGCCUUGGGCAAUUCACCAAUGAUUGGUAGUUUCCCUGUUGGAUGUCAAUCCUUCCUGCUCUCAGUGUUCCCCAUCACUAGUCUCCUGCAGGAUACACAAAAACUAAUCGACACUGCCGUACAAUUCAACAAUUCCUGCUUGGAGUUGCCGUACAAUUCAACAAUUCCUACUCGGAGUUAUAUAAGUGGAGCAGCAAUGCAGAUAAAGUUGUAAGUAUGCAUGCUUAUAACUAAAGUUGUCGCGUAAAUUGAGUUGCUAGUUGGUUUCAACUCAGAACUAUCUUGCAGUAGGUUGACUUGUGAUCAAAAUAACCAUGAAACAAGUUUAUCCCCCCGUCAUCCCCUCCUCCCUCUUUGCCUUCUUCGCCCUCCUCGACCUAUAGUGCCAUCCACUCUCUCUCCAAGGGCGAUCAAGACCAUGCACCCUCACCAAAGGUAUAGGUAGCUUCGACAUAAGUCUCUUUAUCCAAAAUAUCUUCAUAUCUAUGUAUGCAGAGUGCUUCAACUUAGCAUUUGCUUGUAAGGUAUUCGAUGGAAUGCUUGUGCUAGAUGCUACUUUUUUCUUUUAUUCCAAAACUCUCCUUCAAACAUAAGAAAUAAGCUUUCGUUAUUAUAACUUAAGUUGCAAUCAGACUUGAGUUACAAUGUAAAUUCAACUACGGGAUUCCGAACAGGACCUGGUCUCCCAAUAGCUCUUGAUCAAAUCAAGAAGUUUACCUCCUUUACUAUGCCUAGCUUGUAGGCAUGCUAAAUCAUUUAUCCUUCUUCCAACCAAUUAUUAGAACAUACAUAUAAAAGGAUGAACCACCUAGCUUUCUUGAAGUCUAAUGAUGCAAGCUUUAAGAGAGUUGACGAGGUCCCAAUACAAUCUUCUCCUACAUUACUCGGGCCACAAAUAUUUCAAGGGAUUACUAGGCACUAGCAUGUUUAGGAGCAUGAGUUCUCGGGGUAUGGCACUCUCUCAGCCUCCAUUGUCGAAGUCCGCCCAGUUCUUUCGAGUUCUCUAAUUCCAGACAAAGCAUUGAUUUAAAAGG